RNAcentral lists this long non-coding RNA (201 nucleotides) under Elaeis guineensis (African oil palm). RNAcentral describes it as "long non-coding RNA (EGUI_LNC051485)". Lineage: Eukaryota; Viridiplantae; Streptophyta; Magnoliopsida; Arecales; Arecaceae. The record is from RNAcentral.
AGAUCACCAGAUAACUUGUAAGCAACUCACUGUACUUUAGUAUCAGACCAUCUAAGUUUUUAACUCAGUGAUGGAAAGACACUGGAUGCAAUCUAGUACUUAUCAAGUCGGUAUGUAAGUUAAAAUAAAAUUGACCCUUCUGAAUUAGUAGGAGAUAUGCAUCAGUGUAUUUUAAUUUAGUAAAAUCUUAGCUAGGAUAAU